AAAUUGAAGAGUUUGAUCAUGGCUCAGAUUGAACGCUGGCGGCAGGCCUAACACAUGCAAGUCGAACGGUAGCACAGAGAGCUUGCUCUCGGGUGACGAGUGGCGGACGGGUGAGUAAUGUCUGGGAAACUGCCUGAUGGAGGGGGAUAACUACUGGAAACGGUAGCUAAUACCGCAUAACGUCGCAAGACCAAAGAGGGGGACCUUCGGGCCUCUUGCCAUCAGAUGUGCCCAGAUGGGAUUAGCUAGUAGGUGGGGUAACGGCUCACCUAGGCGACGAUCCCUAGCUGGUCUGAGAGGAUGACCAGCCACACUGGAACUGAGACACGGUCCAGACUCCUACGGGAGGCAGCAGUGGGGAAUAUUGCACAAUGGGCGCAAGCCUGAUGCAGCCAUGCCGCGUGUAUGAAGAAGGCCUUCGGGUUGUAAAGUACUUUCAGCGGGGAGGAAGGCGAUAAGGUUAAUAACCUUGUCGAUUGACGUUACCCGCAGAAGAAGCACCGGCUAACUCCGUGCCAGCAGCCGCGGUAAUACGGAGGGUGCAAGCGUUAAUCGGAAUUACUGGGCGUAAAGCGCACGCAGGCGGUCUGUCAAGUCGGAUGUGAAAUCCCCGGGCUCAACCUGGGAACUGCAUUCGAAACUGGCAGGCUAGAGUCUUGUAGAGGGGGGUAGAAUUCCAGGUGUAGCGGUGAAAUGCGUAGAGAUCUGGAGGAAUACCGGUGGCGAAGGCGGCCCCCUGGACAAAGACUGACGCUCAGGUGCGAAAGCGUGGGGAGCAAACAGGAUUAGAUACCCUGGUAGUCCACGCCGUAAACGAUGUCGACUUGGAGGUUGUGCCCUUGAGGCGUGGCUUCCGGAGCUAACGCGUUAAGUCGACCGCCUGGGGAGUACGGCCGCAAGGUUAAAACUCAAAUGAAUUGACGGGGGCCCGCACAAGCGGUGGAGCAUGUGGUUUAAUUCGAUGCAACGCGAAGAACCUUACCUACUCUUGACAUCCAGAGAACUUAGCAGAGAUGCUUUGGUGCCUUCGGGAACUCUGAGACAGGUGCUGCAUGGCUGUCGUCAGCUCGUGUUGUGAAAUGUUGGGUUAAGUCCCGCAACGAGCGCAACCCUUAUCCUUUGUUGCCAGCGGUCCGGCCGGGAACUCAAAGGAGACUGCCAGUGAUAAACUGGAGGAAGGUGGGGAUGACGUCAAGUCAUCAUGGCCCUUACGAGUAGGGCUACACACGUGCUACAAUGGCGCAUACAAAGAGAAGCGACCUCGCGAGAGCAAGCGGACCUCAUAAAGUGCGUCGUAGUCCGGAUUGGAGUCUGCAACUCGACUCCAUGAAGUCGGAAUCGCUAGUAAUCGUAGAUCAGAAUGCUACGGUGAAUACGUUCCCGGGCCUUGUACACACCGCCCGUCACACCAUGGGAGUGGGUUGCAAAAGAAGUAGGUAGCUUAACCUUCGGGAGGGCGCUUACCACUUUGUGAUUCAUGACUGGGGUGAAGUCGUAACAAGGUAACCGUAGGGGAACCUGCGGUUGGAUCACCUCCUUACCUUAAAGAA
This 1550-nucleotide ribosomal RNA is filed under the name Enterobacter cancerogenus. RNAcentral describes it as "bacterial SSU rRNA". It matches the Rfam family "Bacterial small subunit ribosomal RNA". The record is from RNAcentral. Lineage: Bacteria; Pseudomonadati; Pseudomonadota; Gammaproteobacteria; Enterobacterales; Enterobacteriaceae.